UACGGCCGUACCAUGCUGAAUAUACCGGUUCUCGUUAGAUCACCGAAGUUAAGCAUCAUUGGGCGCGGUCAGUACUUGGGUGGGUGACCACCUGGGAACACUGCGUGCCGUU
This 112-nucleotide ribosomal RNA is filed under the name Caerostris darwini. Lineage: Eukaryota; Metazoa; Arthropoda; Arachnida; Araneae; Araneidae. The record is from RNAcentral.